CAAUCGGCCCUUUUUAGGGCCUACUAAUGUUUACUAAAGAUUUAUUU
Molecule: non-coding RNA, 47 nt
Organism: Aedes aegypti (yellow fever mosquito)
Lineage: Eukaryota; Metazoa; Arthropoda; Insecta; Diptera; Culicidae
Source: Rfam